AUCAUUUGUUAUAUUGUUCGUGUUGUUAUAUAUAGCAGUAGCAGUAAGUGUGACAGAUUGAUGGUUAUACCUGCAGAAAUAAGGAGUUUUGAUGUUGCUAAAGAAUCUCAUGGAGGACAAGCAGCUGAAUUUGGAUCAACCGUUUCUGUCAGUAAGACGAGCCUCUCCAACAGUGGCUUCUGGGAGUGAUGAGACAAAGAAGACUGAAUA
RNAcentral lists this unclassified non-coding RNA (210 nucleotides) under Hevea brasiliensis (rubber tree). The record is from RNAcentral. Lineage: Eukaryota; Viridiplantae; Streptophyta; Magnoliopsida; Malpighiales; Euphorbiaceae.